RNAcentral lists this non-coding RNA (240 nucleotides) under Myotis brandtii (Brandt's bat). Lineage: Eukaryota; Metazoa; Chordata; Mammalia; Chiroptera; Vespertilionidae. The record is from RNAcentral.
AAAUAGGGACAAAUAAAAUGAGAAAGUAUAAUCUUGGUGGGCAAUACAGAGUUAUGUGUGUUCACUGUAAGGGCAGACCAACAAGAAAUUCUUCCUGCUUUUGAACUAUCUCUCUUUCAUGGAGAUAUUUCUUCCCAGUUGCCAGGAAGAAAUUGUGGUAACUGGAGUGAGUAGGGAGGGACAAGGCAUGUUCAUGGUAUCAGGGUCAAGGGUCCCAAAGGACUUAGCUUGUGUUGUGGC